CACUCAUCAAGACCGGCUGAGGGAUAGGCCCUUUGACGCCGGGGCAACCUUCCGAGGAUCCACCCGAUCCGCGGAGAUGGUGCCAACUCCUGCGAGGUUUCCCCGGAAGCCGCGAGAGAUGAGUG
Molecule: non-coding RNA, 125 nt
Filed under: Brevundimonas sp. Root1279
Lineage: Bacteria; Pseudomonadati; Pseudomonadota; Alphaproteobacteria; Caulobacterales; Caulobacteraceae
Also listed under: 1 other name
Description: SAM riboswitch aptamer (S box leader)
Rfam family: SAM riboswitch aptamer (S box leader)
About the family: The SAM riboswitch is found upstream of a number of genes which code for proteins involved in methionine or cysteine biosynthesis in Gram-positive bacteria. The SAM riboswitch acts at the level of transcription termination control. The predicted structure consists of a complex stem-loop region followed by a single stem loop terminator region.
Source: Rfam by way of RNAcentral